Molecule: ribosomal RNA, 274 nt
Filed under: uncultured bacterium
Lineage: Bacteria
Description: partial 16S ribosomal RNA
Rfam family: Bacterial small subunit ribosomal RNA
Source: RNAcentral
AUACGGAGGGGGCUAGCGUUGUUCGGAAUUACUGGGCGUAAAGCGCGCGUAGGCGGUCCGCGUAGUCAGGCGUGAAAGCCCCGGGCUCAACCUGGGAACUGCGUUUGAUACUGGCGGGCUAGAGUCCGGGAGAGGGUAGUGGAAUUCCCAGUGUAGAGGUGAAAUUCGUAGAUAUUGGGAAGAACACCAGUGGCGAAGGCGGCAACCUAGACCGGUACUGACGCUGAGGUGCGAAAGCGUGUGGAGCAAACAGGAUUAGAAACCCCAGUAGUCC